RNAcentral lists this ribosomal RNA (425 nucleotides) under uncultured bacterium. Its description in RNAcentral is "bacterial SSU rRNA". It matches the Rfam family "Bacterial small subunit ribosomal RNA", at positions 354 to 796 of the family's 1533-position model. The record is from RNAcentral.
GUCGGGAAUUUUGCGCAAUGGGCGAAAGCCUGACGCAGCAACGCCGCGUGAGGGAUGAAGGCCUUCGGGUUGUAAACCUCUUUUCUCAGGGACGAUGAUGACGGUACCUGAGGAAUAAGCCACGGCUAACUACGUGCCAGCAGCCGCGGUAAUACGUAGGUGGCAAGCGUUGUCCGGAUUUACUGGGCGUAAAGAGCGCGCAGGCGGUCGUGCAAGUCGAGUGUGAAAGCCCCCGGCUCAACUGGGGAGGGUCACUCGAUACUGCUCGACUUGAAGGCGGAAGAGGGAAGCAGAACUCCCGGUGUAGUGGUGAAAUGCGUAGAUAUCGGGAAGAAUACCAGUGGCGAAGGCGGCUUCCUGGUCCGUUCUUGACGCUGAGGCGCGAAAGCUAGGGGAGCGAACGGGAUUAGAUACCCCGGUAGUCC